AACAAUUAAAUUAAACACUAGGAACUGAAAUGGACGGAAAUUAAAUUAAAAGACUAACAAUAAAGAAAACUAACUAAAUAAUAUAAUUUAAUAAUGGAUGGGUGUUUGGUUUUGAUGAAAAGUAAAUUAAACUUAAUUAAAUUACAGAAUUGAUAAAAACAUAAAAUUAAGGUAAAAUGAUAAAUGACGGACUAGCUAGAGGGUUCUUCUCCACACAUGACACAUAUGCAACCUAAAUUGAUUUUCAGUUGUUCUUUCAAUAAAUUUUGAAUCUCAAUACUCCAGAUUAACCGUGAACAGCACUUUUUUAAUCUUCAAGUUUUCCUUAAGUUAUUGAAUUGGACGGGAAAACGCAUACAACAAUUCAAAACAUUCUUCAAAAGUCCCCUACGUGAAAAGCACAAUAGAGAUACAAUCAAAGAUCAUUAAACUUUGUGAAAACUAUAAGCAUUGACGAGGCAUUCGUAACUAUGAAAAGCAUGAUACUCUUGCCAAGAAUUUACUUAACGUGAUUGUGACUAGCAACCUUUACUACUUGUGAUUAUAAGAUUGUAACUAUUAGGUGAAACUCCCUCAUAUUCUAGCAUCAAAUUCAUGCAUGUAAAUUAAGCGUGCACUCUCAACCAACAUACACAAAUCAGUUUUUAUACGAACGGAUAAGUAAAUUGAAAUCACAACUUAUGAAAUCACAACCGAAGGUAAUCAAUUCAUAUUACAAAUAUAUUCAUGGCUUUGAAUUAACCUCUAGCCAAAAUAAAUUUAAUUACACAUUAUUAAAACAAAAAUAAAAUAGAAGUUUGGAAAGAUUUAACCGAAAGAGGAGGAUUCUGCUUUCUGUGCUCUGACCAACUCUUGCUGUGCUCUCCUCUCCAGCUGACCUCUGCCACGCUGCCAAGGCAGCGUUCCUUUUCGCGUCAAUCCUCCCAUGUUUUCUGCGCCUCCUGCGCUCUCUGCGAGCUGCCCAAAGGCAGCCCUUUCCGAGUUUAAUUCUCUGUCCACGCUGGACUGCCCUGUCCUCGCAGCUUCCCACCUGCACGUACUGACCUUUCACACCUCCCCACGCUGCAAAGGCAGCGUUCUCACCUCUCUCGUCAGUCACCUCUAUCCUGUACUCACCUAUCUUCUGCUACCCCAAAGGGCAGCCUCCUGUCCGUUUCUUUCCUCUCCCCCCCCAGCUCACGUUUUCUGCCUUUGUCCCUUUUUAUUCCUUUUUCUGCUAUCCUUCCCGCGUCAGUGCUCUCUGCUGCCCAGGGCAGCUCCUCCACCUUCCCGUGUCUUAUCCAGCUCUGCCUCUCUUAUUUUUUAUUUUCUUAUUCUUCUUUCUCUCUGCACUGUUGUCCACUUCCUCUUCUUUUUUCUUCUUUUAAUCCGUCAGUGUGCACUCCACCUUUCUGACCUACUCUCCUUCUUAUUCUUUUCUAACCUUUCCCGUGCUCACCUGUCCUCCCUGUCCCUCUUAGCUUCCUCACGUUUUCCACUAUGUCCGUCUCCCCAUGCUCCUUUUCAUCUUUUAUUCUUUUUGUCUCUCCAGCUGCCAAGCAGCUGUUUUCAUUCUCUUUCAGCUGGUCUUCUAUUCGCCUGCCCUCCUCCUAAUUAUCCUCUUUUAUUUCUUAUUCCAUUUUGACCUUUCAAAGCUGCAAGGGCAGCUUACUCCUCUGCCUUGGAUUCUUUUUUCGCUGUCCUCACGUCCCCACCUCUCGGUCCUCACUAUUUUAUUUCUUCUUUUAUUCUUUCACUAUAUAGACAUAGAGAGGGACAAACCUUGUUUACACCAUUUGGCAAUUGUAAUAAUAACUUGCUUAUAAAAUGUAAAUUAGUAUUAUCAUGUAACAAUAAAGGGUAAAUUUGCAUAACAGAUCCUAUAACUACAAAAAUAAUGUAAAUAGCUCAAAAAUAUAAAGAACUAACUAAGAAAAGACGAGUGAAUUCGAAGUAAAAAUGUAUAUAAAAAUGAUCCGAUCAAAUACCCCCACACUUAACUUUUGCUAGUCCUCGAGCAAAACAAAGAAAACUAGAACAAGAAGUAACAAGAAAAACAUUAGCUUCCCUCUAUGUGACCCUCAUAGAAUUUCAUUCAAGAAAACAAAUCAUCAAGAACCAUAGCUAGCAUCAAGGAACUAAUCUAAGUUCAUCUUCCUUAUUCAAAUAUUAGCAGUAAUCUUUGAAUCAUCCUUGAAGUGUAGUGUGUGAGAUAGCCAUGCUAAUGUAAUUUCAAGUUCUUAUUUUUAAAAUCAUCAUAUGCAAACUAGCGACCUUCUCACGGGAUAUACACUCAAUCACAUAUGUGUUUAGUUUAAAUGUGUUUCGCUCAAAGAAUCAAAUGUGAAAGUUCUACCAUAAGCUUGCAUAAAGAUCACUUCUCCACAGUCAUAAUUGCAAAACUUAAAUCAAGAGGACUUUUAUUGGACGUAAUGAGGUUUAGGGAGAGGGUUAUUGAAAUGAAAGAAUAGGUAAACACAAGUUCCAAGCUACAUUGCAAGCAAUUCUUUUCUUUAGAUUUAUAAGAACUCAACCUUUCCAACGAUUCUUUUAGCACCUCCAACCACACUCUUAAACUGAAACUUGAACAACUUUUUAUUUUCUUUGUGUACAAUCUUUCUUUUUUCUUUUCUCUUUUUUUUUUUUUUUUUUUUUUUUUUUUUUUUUUUUUUUUUUUUUUUAUACAAACAUGAAAUACCCCCACACUUAUUCUUUUGCCAAACACCUUCCAAGUACUUCACAAACAUUUCCCAUAAGACAAUCUCACAUUGCUCACUAGCUUGCUUGGAAAGGGUAAGAAAAAAAUGUUUCAGGUAUAAGGGUAUGCAUAUCUGGUGAUAAGAAAUAAAAGGCUCAACAUACACGGCUCAAAUUUGUAAUCUAAUGAUAUCAUUUUUCUUUGGGAAACAUGGUUAUUUGGGCCAUGGUGGUAAACCUAAUGCCUCUAUCAUUUCCAAGUUCAUGCAAUCAAUGACAAACAUUUCGAAAGAUCGUUACGCAAGUUCUAGAGAUGUAUCUCACAUAAGUUCAUCACACAUGAAAAGAAUAGGAGUGUAUGAAAAAUGCACACACUUUCAAUAGGCUCAAAAACUCACAUAGGAUGUAUAUGGUCACUAAAUUCACAUAUGAAGCUUUAAGUCAUGCUUUAGUUUCACAUCAACAAGGCUAUGUGCAUUUGGUUUUUCAAAGAUGAUCAAACAUGUACAAAACUAACAAGAGAAUUAGGAAUUUCACAAAACACAUGUUAACUAAGUUCUUGAUGAUCAUGGUUCAAAUUUUAUCCAAUUAUAUCAUUGGGUCGGGAAACUAACAAAAAUCUAAUUCAAAACAAUAAGGGAAACAAGACAAUAUUUUUGGAUUUUUUUAAAUUUUCCGAUUUUUUUUUGUUUUUUAUUAUUUUUUUAAAAGAAAACAAAACUAAUUAAGAACACAAAAAAAAACAAAACUAAUUAAGAACACAAAAAACAACAACACAGAGACAAAUGAAAUUCUGGAGAUUUCUACCCCCACACUUAAACUUGACAUUGUCCCCAAUGUCAGAAAACACUAUAAUGCAAAUAAAAAAAAUAAAAUAAAAUAAAUAAAUAAUAAGAAACAAAAUAACGCGAUUGGACUGAAAACUUCCCUAAUUUGCAGUAAAAUCAAGCGAUGACCCCCAAGCUAAAAUUCUGCAAUCAACUUCAAGGGUGGAAAUAACCAAAAGUUCCUGCAAAGAAAAAAAAUAAUUCAGUUAAGUACGCAAGAAAAUUAAUUAAAAAAAAUUGCAAACGAAAAAUUGAAAAUUACGAUAAAAGAUAAUGAAUAAAACUAAUAAGUAAUCAUUGGUCGUGCUUGUUGACUUUCCACAGCUUUCCUCUUGAACGGGGUGACACUUAGCUUUUUACUAUUUGAUGAUAUUGUACGGCGGAGCUUUGCUCUUUGGGAAUAUUGCAGUUCCUUAUUUGUUCUCCAAGCAGAUGUGGCAGCUUCUCUUGUUCUUCAUCUCAGACUCCUUCUGCUGGGAUGAUUGUGCAAGCUGCAUUCUUCUCUGCUUGUUUCCUCUGCAUGGCGGGCAGGCACGAGGGAGAGGUGUUGGUCUGUUUCUUUCUUCAAUCUUUCCAAGUGCCCACCUCUUGCUCUCUUUCUCCUUGUCCUUAGUUGAGGAUGAAUCAGCACGUUGUCUCCACAUGCUUCGAGGUAUCAUCUUCACUUCCUUUAUACGUAAGAGACGAAGAGGAAACACAAGAUGAUGAGUACUCGAGAGCAAGUGCUGGCUGGAGAAAGGACAGGGAGAAAGCAUGAUAUGAGAUACUCUUGCUUUCAACCUUCAUGAUAUGAAAUACUUUUGCUUUGAAUGGGUUGUUCGCAGGAGUAUCCCAAGGAAUGAGGAACACAGAGUAACUUAGGAGGAUUCUUUGGGAAUGCAUUUUCGGAGAUGAAGAAGUGUUGAGAGGGUGUGCUGAGAGAGUGUGCUUUUGUUGUGGAAGGCGAAGGUAGAAACUUAUAGGACUUGUCUUCACAACCGGAACUGUUCUCUCACUCAUUGUCGGCAGCCGGUAGAUGGAUGAAUAGUACAAAUUACGUGCUUUCUGACAAAGCUGCCCGUAAUUUCCGCAAAGCAGAUUCCUCAUUGAUAUCUGGAAUCGGCGCUUCGAGCUCUGAGCAACGUCGAUUGUAGAGGUAGCAUGUGACACGUGCGGAUAAAUCUGGAAAAGAAGAUUUGCCCGUGGGUUGAAGCCCAGCUUUUGAGAAAGCUAGCGUGUCUUUGACUGUUGAAUUUCCCUCUUCGAUUUCUGAAUUGGUGCUUCGACAAACUGCCCGAGAAUUUCGCAAAGCAAUUUACGUGUGACAAGUGACGACACGUCUGGACAAAUUGAUCUUUUGAAAUCCGGGGUUCGGCUCGUGGUUUCUGAGCAAGCCCAGCCUUUAAGAAAUGAAACGCCUCUUUUGAGAAAAGAAUCCGGCUUUUGAGAAAGGAGCCCCGACUCUUCGAUUUGCGAGAGGACGCUUCUCUGAGGAGCGCCUCUCCGAUUUCUUCUUUUUAUAGAGGCGUUAAUUUUGUUCCACAACACACUUGAGCACCCUCCUGUAAACACUCCCUUCUUGCACUUGUUUAAUCUUGAUCAUUCCGACUCUCUUCUUUCUUCACCACCUCUGAAAAAUGUCUGGCCCUUCUGAUCGUCGUUUUGACUUGAACAUUGGUGAAGAGGCAGCUCCGCCUUCACCAGACAACAUAUGGCGCCCAUCUUUCAUAUCCCCUACCGGUCCUCUUACCGUGGGGGAUUCGGUGAUGAAAAAUGACAUGACUGCUGCGGUGGUGGCCCGGAACCUUGUCACCCCUAGAGAUAACAGACUGCUCGCUAGGCGGUCUGAUGAAUUGGCGGUUAAGGAGUCUCUGGCUCUUAGCGUGCAGUGUGCCGGUUCCGUGUCCAACAUGGCCCAACGCCUAUUUGCUCGAACCCGUCACGUUGAAUCGUUGGUGGCUGAAAUACAGAGUCUCAAAGAGGAGAUUAGAGGACUCAAGCAUGAAAAUAAACAAUUGCACAAGCUUGCACACAAUUAUGCCACCAGCAUGAAGAGAAAGAUUGACCAGAUGCAGGACACCGAUGGUCAAAUUUUACUUGAUCAUCGGAGGUUUGUGGGUUUGUUCCAACCGCAUCUGCCUUCGUCUUCUGGAGCGGCACCGCGUAGUGAAGCUCCAACUGAUCAACCUCUGCCGCCUCCUCCUUCUGUGGCCCCGCCGACUGCUGAAGCCCCGCCUACUACUGAAGCACCACCCGACCAAUGAAUACUAUUAGUUUACAUUAUUGUAAAAUAUUUGUAUAUUUUUUUUUUUUUUUUUUUUUUUUAUGUUUUUUUUUUUUUUUUUUUUAUUUAUCAUUAAUUUUAAAUUUUAUCUUUUUUUUUUUUUUUUUUUUUUUUUUUUUUUUUUUUCUAUAUGUAAAUUAAUGUAAAGAGACUUUGGUUAACCUUCCCCCACACUUAAACUAAAUAACACAAACUCACACAAAUCAACCAAAUAACACAACUAACUAAACAAAACAAAAUGAAAGCAGCAAAGAUAAGGGUGGAAGAAUGCAAAGCUGAUUGGGUUAGCAAUUCCAAAGUCUCCCUUCGUUGAAUGCUUGGGUUGCCUCCCAAGAAGCGCUUGAUUUAACGUCUUUAGCCGGACGCAUCUUUCCUUUAAAUUUCCCUCGGCUCCAUUUGAACCUAAAAUCAAAGAAAGAAAAAUAAAUCAAAUAUCAAAAGUAAAAUAUACAAACACCAAUAUAAACAUAAACAAAAAUAAAAAUAAAGGGGAUUAGCAAAGUUACUAAUCCCCGGCAACGGCGCCAAAAUUUGAUGCGAAAAUUACUUGACACACAAAUUAAACCCUCUUUUUGACAAUUGUAGUAUAGAUGUAAGUAGGGUAUCGUUCUAGGCCGGGGAUUAGGAGGGAUUGCUAAUCUAUUCUAAAUUAAUUUAAAAAUAUUAAAUAAGACUCAAGGACACAAAAUUAGGCUAAAAACUCUAAUAACUCGAAACACACUUAAAAUGACUCAAAACAAUGAAAACAAUUAAAUUAAACACUAGGAACUGAAAUGGACGGAAAUUAAAUUAAAAGACUAACAAUAAAGAAAACUAACUAAAUAAUAUAAUUUAAUAAUGGAUGGGUGUUUGGUUUUGAUGAAAAAGUAAAUUAAACUUAAUUAAAUUACAGAAUUGAUAAAAACAUAAAAUUAAGGUAAAAUGAUAAAUGACGGACUAGCUAGAGGGUUCUUCUCCACACAUGACACAUAUGCAACCUAAAUUGAUUUUCAGUUGUUCUUUCAAUAAAUUUUGAAUCUCAAUACUCCAGAUUAACCGUGAACAGCACUUUUUUAAUCUUCAAGUUUUCCUUAAGUUAUUG
RNAcentral lists this long non-coding RNA (6847 nucleotides) under Malus domestica (apple). RNAcentral describes it as "long non-coding RNA (MDOM_LNC004131)". The record is from RNAcentral. Lineage: Eukaryota; Viridiplantae; Streptophyta; Magnoliopsida; Rosales; Rosaceae.